Molecule: long non-coding RNA, 803 nt
Filed under: Pan troglodytes (chimpanzee)
Lineage: Eukaryota; Metazoa; Chordata; Mammalia; Primates; Hominidae
Description: long non-coding RNA NONPTRT013640
Source: RNAcentral
AAGAGAUUUAAUUGGCUCACAGUUCUGCAGGCUGUAAAGGAAACAGCAUUAUUUAUAUUUUUUCCAAAACUGCAAACACCAUGUAUUAGUCAGGGCUCUCUAGAGGGACAGAAUUAAUGGCAUAGAUGUAUAUAUAAAGGGGAGUUUAUGAAGUAUUAACUCACACGAUCACAAGGUCCCACAACAGGCCAUCUGCAAGCUGAGGAGCAAGGAGAGGGAAGAACUUGGGGUCGGAUGUUCAAGUGUAGGAAGCAUCUAACAUAGGAGAAAGAUGUAGGCUGGGAGACUAGGCCAGUCUCUCUUUUUCACAUCUUUCUGCCUGCUUAUAUUCUAGCCAUAGAGAAGGAAGGGGGAAGUGCCACAUGCCUUUAAACAACCAGAGCUGGAGAGAACUCAGAAUCACAAGAAUGGUGAAAGGGAAGUCUGCCCCCAUGGUCCAAUCACCUCCCACCAGGCCCAUCCCUCAAUACUGGGGAUGACAAUUCAACAUGAAAUUUGGGUGAGGCACAGAGUCAAACCAUAUCAGCUAUAUACAGCACAGAUGAAUUUCACAAACAAAGUUAACAGAGAGAAGCCAGACACAAAAAAGUGAAUACUGUAUUUUUCCAUUUAUAUAAAUUUCAGGCAACCUCAUUUAUGGUGUUAGAAAUAAUGGCUUUUCUUUCUGUGGAAUAAGGAGAUAUUGAUGAUUGAGAAAGGGCAUAAAAAGAAGUUUUUAAAAUAUGGUUAAAAUGUAUUCCUUAAUCUGGGUACUGGUUAAAUUGAUAGAAUCAUUUUGUCAUAAUUCACAAACUGUUCAUGUU